GGUUGUGGCUCAGUGGUAGAGUGCUUGCCUUGCAUGUGUGAGGCACUGGGUUCAAUUCUCAGCACCA
RNAcentral lists this transfer RNA (67 nucleotides) under Marmota monax (woodchuck). RNAcentral's name for it is "tRNA.Ala". It matches the Rfam family "tRNA". From Rfam's summary of the family: Transfer RNA (tRNA) molecules are approximately 80 nucleotides in length. The record is from RNAcentral. Lineage: Eukaryota; Metazoa; Chordata; Mammalia; Rodentia; Sciuridae.